AAGAACCAGUGAUUUGGAGGGUGAGGUUACAGAAGAAGGCAUGGAGGAGGAAGAAGAAAAUGAGAAUGAAGAGAAUUAUGAAAGCAAAUAUAGUGAGGAAGAGGAAGAUAAGAAGAAAGGAUCAAAGAGAGUAAAAAAGAUGGGAUCAGAUGAAGAUUGAAAAACAAAAAGGCGUCAAACCUGCACUGUGUAGGUUUUUGCCUCCAAAAUUUACAGUGAUACUCAAUGACUUUAGCCUGUUAUUUGUUCUUCCGCUGAUUUCGUAGACGUUUUGGAUUUUGAUGGUUUUGGACUUUUGUUAACUCUUUAAUUUAUGUCUUGAUCCGACUCUUCUAAGCUUUACUGUAAAAUUAUGCUUCCUGUUUCGGUUAUUUACCUGGCUUUGGAUGUGUUUUAAAGGUUUUACUGGGUACAGAGGCUGUUAUGAGAACUUAUGGUUUUGUCGCUGUUUAUCAAAUACACAAGAUCUAGAAAUAAUAUAAUUUGGUAAGGUGAACAUAACCCUUAUACAAGCAACUAUACAAUAGAGAAAAAAAUAUAACAAAAAUGAAACAGAUCCACAUUUGCGCGGUUGAAAUAUGUGAAGAAAAAAACACCUACUUUCACAUAUUAUUGAACAUCAAAAACGAAAAACAUGUUGGUGACGAGUCACGAGCAAAAAAAAAAAAUUGAUAACAAACAUAAAUCCCAAUAUAUUUAAAGAUUUAAUAACCUAUGUUAGUUAACCAUCUAAUCUAAUACUCUUUCCAUUUCAAAAAUAUAUAUGGUUUAGAACUUUUACCAGUAUUAAGAAAACAGACGAAAUUUUGAUUAUCAAUAGAUUAAUUUCUAAACUAACUAUUCUUCGUAACUUUUAAUCAAUAAAAUUUUAAUAAAAACAUUUAUAUUUUUUGAAAUUUACAAUUAACCAUUUAGUAAUGAAUUGAAAAUGUAAAAAAAAAAAAAACUGUGUAGGUUUUUGCCUCCAAAAUUUACAGUGAUACUCAAUGACUUUAGCCUGUUAUUUGUUCUUCCGCUGAUUUCGUUGACGUUUUGGAUUUUGAUGGUUUUGGACUUUUGUUAACUCUUUAAUUUAUGUCUUGAUCCGACUCUUCUAAGCUUUACUGU
RNAcentral lists this long non-coding RNA (1107 nucleotides) under Brassica napus (rape). RNAcentral describes it as "long non-coding RNA (BNAP_LNC017526)". The record is from RNAcentral. Lineage: Eukaryota; Viridiplantae; Streptophyta; Magnoliopsida; Brassicales; Brassicaceae.